This 253-nucleotide ribosomal RNA is filed under the name uncultured bacterium. RNAcentral describes it as "partial 16S ribosomal RNA". It matches the Rfam family "Bacterial small subunit ribosomal RNA", at positions 524 to 776 of the family's 1533-position model. The record is from RNAcentral.
UACGUAGGGUGCGAGCGUUGUCCGGAAUUAUUGGGCGUAAAGAGCUUGUAGGCGGUCUGUCGCGUCUGCUGUGAAAAUCCGGGGCUCAACCCCGGACUUGCAGUGGGUACGGGCAGACUAGAGUGUGGUAGGGGAGACUGGAAUUCCUGGUGUAGCGGUGAAAUGCGCAGAUAUCAGGAGGAACACCAAUGGCGAAGGCAGCUCGCUGGGACGGUACUGACGCUGAGGCGCGAAAGCGUGGGGAGCAAACAGG